This 511-nucleotide long non-coding RNA is filed under the name Centruroides sculpturatus (bark scorpion). RNAcentral's name for it is "uncharacterized LOC111639736, transcript variant X1". The record is from RNAcentral. Lineage: Eukaryota; Metazoa; Arthropoda; Arachnida; Scorpiones; Buthidae.
AUAUACUUAAUUAUUUAUAAUCUAAUUCUUAUUUUAUGUAAAUGUUAGAUUUGAGAAUGCAUCAUAAAGUUGGGUACACAGAGCCUGUGUGUUAAUAUUUUGAAUGGAGAAUGAAGAAUACUUUUAUUUUAGAAUAAUAUAUUUAUAUAUCAAGUUUUAAAACUCUAAAUUGUGUUAUAGUAACAUUAUAAUAUAAUUAUUACCAGAUACUCUAUGCCAAAGAUAUAGACCAAAGAAGUACAACUUUUGAGCGUUCUCUUGCUAUGGGAAAAGAGUAUCAGAGAAGGACAACAGCAUUAAUUUUACGAUCUGCAAUGUUAAAAAAUCAAAUUCAUGUAAAGAGUCCACCAAGAGACGGAUCCCAGAGCGGAGGAGAAAUGAGCAUGGCUCCGGGAAACAGUCUUCCGCCUCGUAAUUAGUCUCGCUCUUUGGGUGCCAUUCUCGUCCGUCGCUUCUGUUAGAAACGACUGUAAUUAUUGACUUUGUUAAUAAAAUUAUCGACAUAACGUAA